Molecule: ribosomal RNA, 253 nt
Filed under: uncultured bacterium
Lineage: Bacteria
Description: partial 16S ribosomal RNA
Rfam family: Bacterial small subunit ribosomal RNA
Source: RNAcentral
UACGUAGGGGGCAAGCGUUGUCCGGAAUCAUUGGGCGUAAAGAGCGCGUAGGCGGCCCUGUAAGUCCGCUGUGAAAGUCAAGGGCUCAACCCUUGAAUGCCGGUGGAUACUGCAGGGCUAGAGUCCGGAAGAGGCGAGUGGAAUUCCUGGUGUAGCGGUGAAAUGCGCAGAUAUCAGGAGGAACACCGAUGGCGAAGGCAGCUCGCUGGGACGGUACUAACGCUGAGACGCGAAAGCGUGGGGAGCAAACAGG